This is a long non-coding RNA of Felis catus (domestic cat), 270 nucleotides long. RefSeq lists it as uncharacterized. NCBI's taxonomy places the organism in Eukaryota, Metazoa, Chordata, Mammalia, Carnivora, Felidae. The transcript is spliced from 3 exons. The record is from RefSeq and is a predicted model, not a curated record.
CAGGAGGUGAGCUAAGCUGAGUUGAGCAUGAAACUGAGUGGGACUGACUCGAGCUGAACCGAAGGGGGCUGAGGGCCGCCAUGCAUGCCAUUCCCUACACCUGAGGCUCUUCCACUCGCUCUCCAACUGGCCAACUCCUCCAGAGAGUCGCCACCCUCAACCCCAGGUCAAGACAGAACUUCGGCAGCAGCCCAGAAGGCUCCCCCAUCCCCCUUCCCAAGCAAUAACUCCUCCACCCACAAAAGGAACCACUGUUUUGACUUCUAGAUU